CGAACGCUGGCGGCGUGCCUCAUACAUGCACGUCGAGCGAAGUUUUUCUGGUGCUUGCACCGGAAAAAAUUAGCGGCGAACGGGUGAGUAACACGUAAAGAACCUGCCUCAUAGACUGGGACAACUAUUGGAAACGAUAGCUAAUACCGGAUAAUAGCAUUAACUGCAUGGUUGAUGUUUAAAAGUUGGUUUUGCUAACACUAUGAGAUGGCUUUGCGGUGCAUUAGCUAGUUGGUGGGGUAAAGGCCUACCAAGGCGACGAUCCAUAGCCGACCUGAGAGGGUGAUCGGCCACACUGGGACUGAGACACGGCCCAGACUCCUACGGGAGGCAGCAGUAGGGAAUCUUCCGCAAUGGGCGAAAGCCUGACGGAGCAACGCCGCGUGAGUGAAGAAGGAUUUCGGUUCGUAAAGCUCUGUUGUUAGGGAAGAAUGAUUGUGUAGUAACUAGACACAGUGGAGACGGUACCUAACCAGAAAGCCACGGCUAACUACGUG
This 497-nucleotide ribosomal RNA is filed under the name uncultured bacterium. Its description in RNAcentral is "partial 16S ribosomal RNA". It matches the Rfam family "Bacterial small subunit ribosomal RNA", at positions 30 to 507 of the family's 1533-position model. The record is from RNAcentral.